This is a long non-coding RNA of Ailuropoda melanoleuca (giant panda), 4430 nucleotides long. NCBI's taxonomy places the organism in Eukaryota, Metazoa, Chordata, Mammalia, Carnivora, Ursidae. The record is from Ensembl.
AUGAAUCCAGCAAGAGCUAUUCUGUGUCGGCCCCUGACGCCACCGUACACUCCGCCUUCCAGCGCGCUCCCGCACGCGCCCGUCCAGCCACCGCCACCACGCGCCUGUGCUGCCCGAGGCUCCGGCUCAGGCGCGAGGACGCGCCCAUUCCCCCACCCCCUUAAACAGGAGAGGCCCUGGCCUCCCCAGCCUUCCCACCCUACCCCACCCAACAGGAUGGUCACUCAAGCCACCCCAGGCCUGUAUUUCCCCUCUUACCCGGCCGGCCAGUGGGCCGGCCUCCCUUCCCUUCCCCUAGUCGUCCACACCCACGCGUACAGAGGGGCCGGGGCCUCCCUCAAGCUGCGGCCUCGGCCUCCUCCCCGCGCGGCAGCUGGUGCCUCCCCGGCCCUACGGGGCUCACGCGCACGACACAGCCACAAGAUGUCCGCUCUGACGGAACUACUGCCAGCUGCCACGCUCCGCCCCUCCCCCCUCCUCCUGCCUCUUCACCGCCGCGUAUCAGUCCGCCAACGCCGCUGUCGCGAGCACAGGACGAAUCUAAGGGCGAAGGGGAACGGUUUACUUCCUAUAUCCAGGGCCGAGUUUAUCUGUGCUACCCCCGUUUCCUUCUUUUCGGAACAGCACCUUCUUACUAAACAGAUCGGAGAUUGGACUGUGAGGGCGGGGGCCGGAGGCGGGUCAUGGGCUGGGGGAAGGGUGGACGAGCGGCGGAAACCCUCAGACUCAGAGAAGCAUCGAGAACCGGAAGGAGACCAUGGCAGGAAGGUAAUGGAACCGGCAGCUGCGCGGUCGAGACCCACGCCCCUCCCAGCAGCGUCCCCCAAUUUCCUCACUUGGUAUUGAGGCGGCGGAUCUCGCGAGAACGUCGGGGCUGGCUAACAGGAGCUAUAGCGCUGCAAUGACUUAAGGGCAGUUUUGUGCGCUCUUCCGGAUGGGGGCCCUCCCCCAAACCUACAAAUUCUCGCGAGAUGCAAUAGGCACCGGCUCGAGUUGGGGCGGGCCGUCUCCUGGAAGCACCGCCCCUGAAUGCUUAUGCUGGUGGGAGGGAGAGGAAAUGGAAUUCCCCGGAGUGGUUAGAGCGCGCGCCGACACAUCCGUCUUUCACGCGCCCAAUCAGGAAUGUGCGGUGGGAGGUACCGCGGUUUAAUUACUAGAUACCUCUAGUGGUUGAUCCGGGCUUUUGAAGUUUUCGGUGAAGCAGGUGAGCGGUAUUUACUCUCCUGCUCGUUUGGGCUGGUUAACCAGUGGGAGGAGGCACCCCUCAGAAUGGAAACAAUCAUUUUAAAUAGAGCCGGCGGGCUGCUGAUCUGCGCUCUCACUUGCGGAAAUACAGCGCGUGGUUUUGUUUUGUUUUGUUUUUUGUUUUUUAAAGAUUUUCUUUUUAUUUAAUUGACAGAGAUAGAGACAGCCAGUGAGAGAGGGAACACAAGCAGGGGGAGUGGGAGAGGAAGAAGCAGGCUCCCAGCGAAGCAGGGAGCCUGAUCAAGGGUUCGAUCCCAGGACCCUGGGAUCAGGCCCUGAGUCGAAGGCAGACUGUAGCGUAUUUCUGACCUAGAGGGUCAGUACUGAAGAGUGGGCCCAUAUAGCCCUUCCCAGAAUUACAGCAGCCUAGAAAUCAAAUUCAAGUAUGAAUAAACAUGCAGGAUGGGAAGUUAGGGACGGGCUAUUUAUUUGCCUCUCGCCGUCCGCCAAGAUGGAGGUACUGGAAUAGGUUUAAAAACUUUUUCUGCCUCUUGCUCUGUUUCAAUUUCUAGAUUCGCAAAGUUGCAAAACUCAAGAGAUCAGAGUUUUGGGUCAGAAAAACUUACCACUUAACUGAAAUAUCGAGGGGGUGCAGAAAUAGAAGGAUAGAAUUGGCCUAUUUUAAUAUGCCGGGUGUAAAAUAUGGAGAGGGUGGUUUUGCUCGCUAGUGUAUCCUUCAGGCAAAGGGUAGUACAACAUUAAUUUUUGAAAGGAAUAAAGGUAAGAGCUGACUUGUUUAAAGCUUUCUAGCAUUCCUUUCUAACUUAACGAAGUAGAUAUUUUAAAGAAUUAAAUAGAAAUAUAAACUUGUGUUUAAAAUAUACUUAAAAAAAAAAGAGGGGCGCCUGGGUGGCACAGCGGUUAAGCGUCUGCCUUCGGCUCAGGGCGUGAUCCUGGCGUUAUGGGAUCGAGCCCCACAUCAGGCUCCUCUGCUAGGAGCCUGCUUCUUCCUCUCCCACUCCCCCUGCUUGUGUUCCCUGUCUCGCUGUCUGUCUCUGUCUCUGUCAAAUAAAUAAAUAAAAUCUUUAAAAAAAAAAAAAAAGAAAAGAAAAGCAGCAAGUUCUCUCAUGUUAUGAUAAAGUAUUACCUAAUAACUAAAAUAGGUCUGUGACGAAUGGUCUAAUGUAUACUGUUUAUGUGACCAGAGUGUGUGUCAUAGAGCAGUUAGUGAAACAGUGCUUCUCAAACUAGUAUCCAUGUGAAUCACGUAAGGAUUUUGUUCAGAAUGCAGUUUUGAUUUAGUAGGCCUUGGUGGAACAUGAGAUUUUACAGUUUUAACAAACUCCCAAGUAAUGCAGAUUAUUCUGGUCAGAAGACAACACUGUGAGUAGCAGAGCACUAAAGUGCUCAUCACAUAUCCUAUUUUUGUUCUACCAAAAUAAUCUUUGUUCUCUGUUUAACUGAUCUAAUAUAGUAGAAACACAGAAUUAGGCAGUUGGGAUGGAGGGUGAAAUCCAGGUUUGAGUUCUUGCUCUGUUCUCAUUUGUGUGAUACUGUGUGGUUGCUUACCAUCUUAGUUUCUUCCAAACUGAACUAUACAUAAUAAUUGCUGGCCUUUUUCACAGGAUUAUGGUAUGGUUCAGAUGUCAUAAUGUAUGUGAAAGGGUACUGUAGACUACAGUGCUGUGUAAACAUAAGAUACUAAUGUAACCAAUCAGACAUUAACUGGCCAUAAUGGGAAACAUGUAAGAAUAAUCAUAAAUAUAGGUAAUGUUUAUUCAACACUUGUCAUGUGUCAGGUACGGUACUUAUUAACCUCCUUUUACAAAUAAAAAAACUGAUGCAGAGAGAGAUUAAGUUACUAUUCCCAGGGUCACAAAGCUAAUAAAUGGCAGAAGUAGAAUUUGAACCCAUGCAGUUAACUUCAGGGUAUUUUUAACAAGCGGAGUUACAUAUUGUCUUUUAACUUAGGAAAAACAGGAGAGUAGGAUGUUUUAUAUUUCUACUUUCAGUGUCCUCUGAAUCUAAUUUUGUUUGACUUAGUUCUCCCUCUGUUUUGUUCUUUCAGAAGCCAAGGUUACAAGAGUGGUAGAAAACAUUCCUACCUACCCAAAGGGAACUCACUAUAUGCAGAAAGUCCGUAAAGAAAAGUCCCAGAUAAGCCAAUUUGUAUUACCCUAAUCUAAACAAGCUUCAGUAUGAAAGUAUAAUGGAACAUGUUAAUGCUCUUAAUCAACAAAGCCCAGCAGACUGGGACCAAUUUGAGGUCAGAGUUCUUAACUUUCAUGCUACAGACCACUUUGGCAGUCUGGUGAAGCCAUGAACUCUUCUAAGAAUAAUGUUUCUAAAUGUGUAAAAUAAAAUUCAUGGGAACAGUUAUAAUGUGAUAGAAAGUAUCUCAUCCCUAGCAGUGAUACAGACAUAGGUAGAGCUCUUUGUUGCUUACAUUCAAAAUUGAAGGAAAUGCUAAAUUUCAGUUAGAGAUUAGUAAAAAUAAAGAUGCUUCCCCCCCCCCCCAUCCAAGUUCACAUACUCCCUGGAUUCUGUCCAUGAACUUCAUGAUAAAAAAUUUUGGGUAAAGUCUAGUGGGCUUAUUCCUUUUGGUAGGCCUUGAAGGGAUUGUGAAAUUUCAACAUACAGUUAUAAUUUAUAUUCAUAACAGUAGUGAUUCAUUAAAAAAAAAAAGUUUAAUUACUACCAGUAUACUCUCAUUCAGAAUGCAUGGAAUUACACAAUAGGUUUAGGAAAUAGUUUUAUCCCAUUCAUUGAUUUUUUUUUUUUUUUAACUAUACCUAUAAACAUACCCUAUGGAAAACUUACCUAUGCAGAUGACUCAUUCCCCAAGCAUUCUGGUAACUUAGGUUUUACUAUAUCAUUCUUAUUUAUUACAUGCCUUUGCAAAUAAGAUGUGGCAGAAGAACUGCAAAAUGAAAAUAAUAGCCAAAGAUGAAAUUAAAAUACCGUAUAAAAUUUUUAAUAAGUGUUAAUAAUUAUUAUUUGAAGUACUAUGUGUGGGGUCUUUUAUUUCAUUAUCUUAUCAAAUCUCCAUUAUAUAGAUGAAACACUCAAGGUCUUAAAAUUAUUAACUAAUAGAGUCACGAUUUAAAUCUAGGAAGUCUUACCUCAAAGCUCACACUCAGCCAGCAAGCUGUUUAUUUUUUAGUCCUUUGACUAUUAGCCAAUAUUAAUUUGCCUAAUAGUACAACAAGUACAUAUUUGCUGCCUCAAUUAUUUAUGCAUUUCUU